This is a long non-coding RNA of Haliotis rubra (blacklip abalone), 611 nucleotides long. RefSeq lists it as uncharacterized. Lineage: Eukaryota; Metazoa; Mollusca; Gastropoda; Lepetellida; Haliotidae. The record is from RefSeq and is a predicted model, not a curated record. The transcript has 2 exons.
UUUGAUGACAACGGCUAUUCAGACCCGCUCACGCUGUGUGACUAAAACAUGCAACAUAAUAUAAACACACGUGGAUAAGGUAGCAUGAAUAACACGUGUAUAUUUGUCAAAGCUGCUGAAGAGUUGUCAAAUCGUCCUUAAUCGACGUCAGGGUGACCGCAGCCCUUUCAUCUGUCGAGUUGGAUCAGAUUCAUUCGUUUAAUAGGCGAAAGAGGGAAGAGUUGAUCUCUGUACCACCACAAUUGAUAUUGACAUCAAGUGCAACUCAAACCGUAACAGAUCUUCGGAUUUAUUUGAAACUUUGGUGGUCAAGCAGCACAUUGCCCAUGACGAUACAGCAAGUGUUGUUUAUACAGUUGAAAAAGUAUUUAAAUCCUAUACAUGAUACACUGGACUCUUGCUUGAAUAGGAAAUGCUUGGCAUCAACAUAUACUGUUGUGGAACGUCUUGGAACUCUCAGAUAUUCCAGUGGGAAUCACUAUGAGUGACCAUGAAACUAUUCCAGUUCAUACUGUUACAGUACGUUUUCCAGGCUUGGCAUCUGGGAAAUGUGAAGAACGUUUUAUAUUUUAUGAGUAACCAUGACCUGUGAAUAAACUUACUUAAUAGCU